UAACGUGUCGCGAUGGAUGACUUGGA
Molecule: ribosomal RNA, 26 nt
Filed under: Leishmania major
Lineage: Eukaryota; Euglenozoa; Kinetoplastea; Trypanosomatida; Trypanosomatidae
Description: partial 5.8S ribosomal RNA
Source: RNAcentral